AUUGAACGCUGGCGGCAGGCCUAACACAUGCAAGUCGAGCGGAUGAAGGGAGCUUGCUCCUGGAUUCAGCGGCGGACGGGUGAGUAAUGCCUAGGAAUCUGCCUGGUAGUGGGGGAUAACGUCCGGAAACGGGCGCUAAUACCGCAUACGUCCUGAUGGAGCAAGUGGGGGGUCUUCGGACCUCACGCUAUCAGGUGAGCCUAGGUCGGAUUAGCUAGUUGGUGGGGUAAGGGCCUACCAAGGCGACGAUCCGUAACUGGUCUGAGAGGAUGAUCAGUCACACUGGAACUGAGACACGGACCAGAAUACUACGGGAGGAAGCAGUGGGGAAUAUUGGACAAUGGGCGAAAGCCUGAUCCAGCAAUGCCGCGUGUGUGAAGAAGGUCUUCGGAUCGGAAAGCACUCUAAGUGGGGAGGAAGGGCAGUAAGUUAAUACCUAGCUGGUUUGACGGUACCAACAGAAUAAGCACCGGCUAACUUCGUG
This 484-nucleotide ribosomal RNA is filed under the name uncultured bacterium. RNAcentral describes it as "partial 16S ribosomal RNA". It matches the Rfam family "Bacterial small subunit ribosomal RNA", at positions 30 to 507 of the family's 1533-position model. The record is from RNAcentral.